Molecule: ribosomal RNA, 121 nt
Filed under: Periophthalmus magnuspinnatus
Lineage: Eukaryota; Metazoa; Chordata; Actinopteri; Gobiiformes; Gobiidae
Source: RNAcentral
ACCAGCAGUACUCCCAUUAGUUAGAAUGACAAGAAUUCAGCGCACAUCUCCAAAGCUAAGCAGGGUUGGGCCUGGUUAGUACUUGGAUGGGAGACUGAUGGGAAUACAGAUGCUGCCAGUG